AAUCUGUCAAUCACAAGAUUGUAAUAACAAUUAUUAUUCUUAAGUGUAAAGAAAUUUAUAAUUUAUUUAAAUUGUAAUUCAUGUUCAAUUAUAGUCAAGUGUUGAUUAUAAUAAAGUAAAUUGUAUAUCUUGUCUGAUUUAAUUUGUUUAAAUAAGAUUAUGAUUGUCAAUCAAAAACGUUGAUCUCCUAAUGUAUCAUCUAUAAUAACAGUUUAGUUGUUGUUUACCCCAAGGACAUGGAAUCGGAACCUUGAUUUGUGUGAAUUAUGCUGCCAACAACAAUAAUAAUAUUGCCAGAUUGAAGGUUAAAUAAGUCAUGGAUUGGACCCAAGCCGAAGUUGUUUACCCAUUGACUGUAUAUCACUUGGUGCAACAGCAACAAUCAACUUAUUAAUGUUACAAUUAACAUCACUUACCAGAACAAGGCAAAAAUUUCUCACAAUUAACCCAAGUUUAUCAAGAUGGCAGAGAUGAAAAUCAAGUUGAAUCCUGGUUAUGUUGGUAAAUUGAAGCAACAAAACAAGUGAUCGAUGCUGCGACUGAUAAACCCAAUAAGCAACUCUAACCCAAAAUGAACCCAUUUUUGUAUCUAAAUUUUGGUAAUAUUUCAAGACACAGAAAAUGCCAAUAAAUUGAGUUUCAAUUAUGUUUCAAUUGAGCAACUAUUCAACCUUUACCUACAAAUACAUGAAAGAUUUAAUUACAAUUGCGAUGUCAAGAUUGUAAAUUAUAACCAUGAUCAAUCAUGAUGAUCCAAGCUGUUUUAACAUUAAACGCAAACCCUUGCAAGCAUUUCUCUCAUCAAA
Molecule: long non-coding RNA, 806 nt
Organism: Tetranychus urticae (two-spotted spider mite)
Lineage: Eukaryota; Metazoa; Arthropoda; Arachnida; Trombidiformes; Tetranychidae
Source: RefSeq, a predicted model, not a curated record